This 406-nucleotide ribosomal RNA is filed under the name uncultured bacterium. Its description in RNAcentral is "partial 16S ribosomal RNA". It matches the Rfam family "Bacterial small subunit ribosomal RNA", at positions 29 to 526 of the family's 1533-position model. The record is from RNAcentral.
AUUGAACGCUGGCGGCAGGCCUAACACAUGCAAGUCGAGCGAGCGGCGGACGGGUGAGUAAUGUAUGGGGACAUGCCCGAUAGAGGGGGAUAACUACUGGAAACGGUAGCUAAUACCGCAUACCAUCAGAUGAACCCAGAUGGGAUUAGCUGGUGGGUGGGGUAAAGGCUCACCAAGGCGACGAUCUCUAGCUGGUCUGAGAGGAUGAUCAGCCACACGGGGACUGAGACACGGUCCAGACUCCUACGGGAGGCAGCAGUGGGGAAUAUUGCACAAUGGGCGCAAGCCUGAGGCAGCCAUGCCGCGUGUAUGAAGAAGGCCUUAGGGUUGUAAAGUACUUUCAGCGGGGAGGCGUUACCCGCAGAAGAAGCACCGGCUAACUCCGUGCCAGCAGCCGCGGUAAUUC